AAAACCAAUGCUUGCUUUAAGAAAUCGAAAUGAUACAAAGAGGAUGAACACGGCUCCUGCACAGGGAUGUCACAAAUUUGUGAAAUGUUCCAUAAUUUA
Mesocricetus auratus (golden hamster) is the source of this 99-nucleotide small nuclear RNA. NCBI's taxonomy places the organism in Eukaryota, Metazoa, Chordata, Mammalia, Rodentia, Cricetidae. The record is from Ensembl.